AAAACGACUCUCGGCAACGGAUAUCUCGGCUCUCGCAUCGAUGAAGAACGUAGCGAAAUGCGAUACUUGGUGUGAAUUGCAGAAUCCCGUGAACCAUCGAGUCUUUGAACGCAAGUUGCGCCCGAGCCCUCGGGCGAGGGCACGUCUGCCUGGGCGUCACGC
RNAcentral lists this ribosomal RNA (162 nucleotides) under Mussaendopsis beccariana. RNAcentral describes it as "5.8S ribosomal RNA". It matches the Rfam family "5.8S ribosomal RNA". From Rfam's summary of the family: 5.8S ribosomal RNA (5.8S rRNA) is a component of the large subunit of the eukaryotic ribosome. The record is from RNAcentral. Lineage: Eukaryota; Viridiplantae; Streptophyta; Magnoliopsida; Gentianales; Rubiaceae.